GUGAACGCUGGCGAUAGGCCUAACACAUGCAAGUCGAACGGCAGCACAGUAAGAGCUUGCUCUUACGGGUGGCGAGUGGCGGACGGGUGAGGAAUACAUCGGAAUCUACUUUUUCGUGGGGGAUAACGUAGGGAAACUUACGCUAAUGCCGCAUACGACCUACGGGUGAAAGCAGGGGAUCUUCGGACCUUGCGCGAUUGAAUGAGCCGAUGUCGGAUUAGCUAGUUGGCGGGGUAAAGGCCCACCAAGGCGACGAUCCGUAGCUGGUCUGAGAGGAUGAUCAGCCACACUGGAACUGAGACACGGUCCAGACUCCUACGGGAGGCAGCAGUGGGGAAUAUUGGACAAUGGGCGCAAGCCUGAUCCAGCCAUACCGCGUGGGUGAAGAAGGCCUUCGGGUUGUAAAGCCCUUUUGUUGGGAAAGAAAAGCAGCAGGUUAAUACCCCGCUGUUCUGACGGUACCCAAAGAAUAAGCACCGGCUAACUUCGUG
This 491-nucleotide ribosomal RNA is filed under the name uncultured bacterium. RNAcentral describes it as "partial 16S ribosomal RNA". It matches the Rfam family "Bacterial small subunit ribosomal RNA", at positions 29 to 507 of the family's 1533-position model. The record is from RNAcentral.